CCUACGGGGGGCAGCAGUGAGGAAUAUUGGUCAAUGGGCUUACGCCUGAACCAGCCAAGUCGCGUGAGGGAAGACUGCCCUAUGGGUUGUAAACCUCUUUUGUCAGGGAGCAAUUGGCGCUACGUGUAGCGUUAUCGAGAGUACCUGAAGAAAAAGCAUCGGCUAACUCCGUGCCAGCAGCCGCGGUAAUACGGAGGAUGCGAGCGUUAUCCGGAUUUAUUGGGUUUAAAGGGUGCGUAGGCGGAAUGCCAAGUCAGCGGUAAAAAUUCGGGGCUCAACCCCGUCCGGCCGUUGAAACUGGGGGCCUUGAGUGGGCGAGAAGAAGGCGGAAUGCGUGGUGUAGCGGUGAAAUGCAUAGAUAUCACGCAGAACCCCGAUUGCGAAGGCAGCCUUCCGGCGCCCUACUGACGCUGAGGCACGAAAGUGCGGGGAUCGAACAGGAUUAGAUACCCGGGUAGUC
RNAcentral lists this ribosomal RNA (460 nucleotides) under uncultured bacterium. RNAcentral's name for it is "partial 16S ribosomal RNA". It matches the Rfam family "Bacterial small subunit ribosomal RNA", at positions 338 to 795 of the family's 1533-position model. The record is from RNAcentral.